UACGGGAGGCAGCAGUGGGGAAUAUUGGACAAUGGGCACAAGCUUGAUCCAGCAAUGCCGCGUGGGUGAAGAAGGCCUGCGGGUUGUAAAGCCCUUUAAGCGGGGAGGAAAGCCGGGGUGCAAAUAGCGCCUCGGGGUGACGUUACCCGCAGAAUAAGCACCGGCUAACUCCGUGCCCGCAGCCGCGGUAAUACGGGGGGUGCGAGCGUUUUUUGGAAUUUCUGGGCGUAAAGCGUGUGUGGGCGGUGUAAUCUGUCAGCCGUGAAAGCCCCGGGCUUAACCUGGGAAGCGCGGUUGAGACGGUUAAUCUAGUGUGGGAGAGAGGGGUGUGGAACUCCGGGUGUAGCGGUGAAAUGUGUAGAUAUGGGGAAGAACACCGAUGGUGAAGGCAGCCCUGGGGGGCCACACUGACGAUGAGGCAAGAGGGCGUGGGGAGCAAACAGGAUUUGAUACCCUGGUAGUCCACGCAGUAAACGAUGAACACUAGACGCCGGGGGGGUGACUUUCGGUGUCGUAGCUAACGCG
Molecule: ribosomal RNA, 525 nt
Filed under: uncultured Gammaproteobacteria bacterium
Lineage: Bacteria; Pseudomonadati; Pseudomonadota; Gammaproteobacteria
Description: bacterial SSU rRNA
Rfam family: Bacterial small subunit ribosomal RNA
Source: RNAcentral